GAUGAACGCUGGCGGCGUGCCUAAUACAUGCAAGUCGAGCGAACGGACGAGAAGCUUGCUUCUCUGAUGUUAGCGGCGGACGUGUGAGUAACACGUGGAUAACCUACCUAUAGACUGGGAUAACUCCGGGAAACCGGAGCUAAUACCGGUUAAUAUUUUGAACCUCAUGGUUCAAAAGUGAAAGACGGUCUUGCUGUCACUUAUAGCUGGAUCCGCGCUGCAUUAGCUAGUUGGUAAGGUAACGGCUUACCCAGGCAACGAUGCAUAGCCGACCUGAGAGGGUGAUCGCCCACACUGGAUCUGAGACACGGUCCAGACGCCUACAGGAGGCACAAGUAGGGAAUCUUCCGCAAUGGGCGACAGCCUGACGCAGCAACGCCGCGUGAGUGAUGAAGGUCUUCGGAUCGUAAAACUCUGUUAUUAGGGAAGAACAUAUGUGUAAGUAACUGUGCACAUCUUGACGGUACCUAAUCAGAAAGCCACGGCUAACUACGUG
Molecule: ribosomal RNA, 496 nt
Filed under: uncultured bacterium
Lineage: Bacteria
Description: partial 16S ribosomal RNA
Rfam family: Bacterial small subunit ribosomal RNA
Source: RNAcentral